CUAUUGAAUUAUUUUACUUUUUGUAUUACAUGGUUUAGUAUUUUAACACUAGUCCUUUGAGAGACUUGAUUUCUCUAAAGCAGAUUCCUUGAGUUCUUAGUUAGAAGUAAGCAAAAUAGAAAUCCACCAUAAGAACACUGUGUAGCUUAUUUUUCCUCUUUUUAGUUUAUGGUAAAUUUUGCUCAUCAAAUGGUAGACACAUUUUGUUAUUGUUUCCUUAAAGAGUUAUUUCUCUUACUUUUAGAAUCCAAAGAUGAGCAUUUAAGAAGGUAUGAGGGCAACCUUGAGAAAAGAGAAAAAAUACCAAACGGAAAAACAGAGAAAUUCACAGAAAAUGCUUACAAUAAUUACCGAGCCCCUGAAAAAAAGCAGUGCAUGUGUUUAUGCACAAAAUCACAUCAUCCAUCAUAACAGCAAAUAUUCCCACAGAAGAUGCUGCAUAUUAAUCAUGUUAUAUUCACUGAUCAGCGAUUCAUUUGGAUAGCCCUGAUCCACUCUUUGGGAAUUGUCUAAGGCGUUUUGGUAUUUCUGAACCCCAUCCAAAGAUUUGCUAUGAUCCAAGAGCCAAGAUACAAUGGGCGUCACAUGACCUUUAAACCUUUUGAGUUUAAGCACUUCCAGGAGUUAAUGUCAACAUGUCAACAACUAAGCAGUGGUUUUGGACUUGGGCAUCUAAAUACUCAUUUAUGCUCUGGACAGCUCCAGCGAAUGCUGCCAUGACAGGAGCGUGCGGAGACAGGCAGCCCACCAGUGAUGCAGGGUAGAGCACGGUAAAGGCCAAUAGUUCUGGGACGGGAAUAGAGAAAACUCUGG
Molecule: long non-coding RNA, 813 nt
Organism: Dromaius novaehollandiae (emu)
Lineage: Eukaryota; Metazoa; Chordata; Aves; Casuariiformes; Dromaiidae
Exons: 5
Source: RefSeq, a predicted model, not a curated record